AUUGAACGCUGGCGGCAGGCCUAACACAUGCAAGUCGAACGGUAACAGGAAGAAGCUUGCUUCUUUGCUGACGAGUGGCGGACGGGUGAGUAAUGUCUGGGAAACUGCCUGAUGGAGGGGGAUAACUACUGGAAACGGUAGCUAAUACCGCAUAACGUCGCAAGACCAAAGAGGGGGACCUUCGGGCCUCUUGCCAUCGGAUGUGCCCAGAUGGGAUUAGCUAGUAGGUGGGGUAACGGCUCACCUAGGCGACGAUCCCUAGCUGGUCUGAGAGGAUGACCAGCCACACUGGAACUGAGACACGGUCCAGACUCCUACGGGAGGCAGCAGUGGGGAAUAUUGCACAAUGGGCGCAAGCCUGAUGCAGCCAUGCCGCGUGUAUGAAGAAGGCCUUCGGGUUGUAAAGUACUUUCAGCGGGGAGGAAGGGAGUAAAGUUAAUACCUUUGCUCAUUUACGUUACCCGCAGAAGAAGCACCGGCUAACUCCGUG
Molecule: ribosomal RNA, 490 nt
Filed under: uncultured bacterium
Lineage: Bacteria
Description: partial 16S ribosomal RNA
Rfam family: Bacterial small subunit ribosomal RNA
Source: RNAcentral